GACGCGUUGGGGGCGUUAAGCGCGGGUGAUUUACAUGUUAAGUCAAUGCAAAGGCGCGAAUAGACAUCAUGCGGCGCGGUUCGCGCUAAUGGCGCGGUGCGAAUUGAGCUUUUAGCGCGAAUGGCGCGGCGCGAAAUGAGCGUUUCGAUCGUUGACGUGCGAAUGGCGCGGCGCGGAUUGAGCGAUUUGAGCGUUGACGCAGAUUCGCAGGAAACGCUCGAGUUGAAAAAUUUGAACUUUGGCGGACAUUCGCGCCGCGUUAACCAAUCAGGAGCUUUCUCUAGUAGUGACGUGAUUACAGGAAGCCAGCAGACGGUGGAGGCAGAAAUGCAAAACAAUGGAGAUCAAUCGUCGUGAGAGAUCUUCGUACUUUUUACCGAAACAGGAAUUUAAAAGGUCUUGGUUGGAAGAAAGUGAGUGAGGAGGAUCGAACAAUCUGCCUGUGUCCCCUCUGAACCUGCUGCUGCGUCUGCUUCCCAUGCCGACCCAUCAACAUCUGCAGCUGUCCCCGCAGCGCCACCAAGAUGAAGAGCUCAGAGAAGGCCUAGAUAGCAGCCAUCAGUGGUGAAGCGGCAGCCUCCUAGAAGCACUCCGGAGUCCGGACCAGUCCUGUAGAUCCAGCACCGCCUCCACGCUCAGAGGAUGAGCUCUUCCUCUUUAGUCUGGUCCCUUACCUGCAGAGGUUGCUACCUCAGAUGAAAAAAAUUGUUACAUUUAAAGUUCACAAAUUAAUUUAUUAAAGCAGUACAGUUGUGCUUAAUGUGGAGCCUAAAAUGUAGUUUUAAAAAAGAGGCAGCAAUCUCUGCAGGUAAUGAACCAGACUUUCUCUCCUCUCCUUCACUUUGGCUCUCCCCCUUCCAAGCAAGAUCCUUUCUUAUUCCUCUAUGUAAAUAGUUGUAAAGGUUCUUUGUAUAUAUUGAUAUAUUUUGUAUAAAUAAAUGGUCUAUACAGUCACCAAAGGUUUUGGUAUUUUACUUUGCGCACAACAUAGUAAAUCACAGUUUAGA
Misgurnus anguillicaudatus (oriental weatherfish) is the source of this 1007-nucleotide non-coding RNA. The record is from RefSeq and is a predicted model, not a curated record. NCBI's taxonomy places the organism in Eukaryota, Metazoa, Chordata, Actinopteri, Cypriniformes, Cobitidae.